AGCUUCGGCCAUCCGGCGAGGGAUGGGCCCGCGGUGCAUUAGCUAGUUGGUGGGGUAACGGCUCACCAAGGCAACGAUGCAUAGCUGGUCUGAGAGGAUGAUCAGCCACACUGGGACUGAGACACGGCCCAGACUCCUACGGGAGGCAGCAGCCAGGAAUCUUGGGCAAUGGGCGAAAGCCUGACCCAGCAACACCGUGUGAGCGAUGAAGGCCUUCGGGUCGUAAAGCUCUGUUGAUAGGGACGAAGGGCGAAGGGUUAAUAGCCC
Molecule: ribosomal RNA, 267 nt
Filed under: uncultured Rubrobacter sp.
Lineage: Bacteria; Bacillati; Actinomycetota; Rubrobacteria; Rubrobacterales; Rubrobacteraceae
Description: partial 16S ribosomal RNA
Rfam family: Bacterial small subunit ribosomal RNA
Source: RNAcentral